This 478-nucleotide ribosomal RNA is filed under the name uncultured bacterium. Its description in RNAcentral is "partial 16S ribosomal RNA". It matches the Rfam family "Bacterial small subunit ribosomal RNA", at positions 28 to 523 of the family's 1533-position model. The record is from RNAcentral.
GAUGAACGCUGGCGGCGUGCUUAACACAUGCAAGUCGAACGGUAAGGCCCUUCGGGGUACACGAGUGGCGAACGGGUGAGUAACACGUGGGUGAUCUGCCCUGCACUUCGGGAUAAGCCUGGGAAACUGGGUCUAAUACCGGAUAGGACCCUGGGAUGCAUGUCCUGGGGUGGAAAGCUUUUGCGGUGUGGGAUGGGCCCGCGGCCUAUCAGCUUGUUGGUGGGGUGAUGGCCUACCAAGGCGACGACGGGUAGCCGGCCUGAGAGGGUGACCGGCCACACUGGGACUGAGAUACGGCCCAGACUCCUACGGGAGGCAGCAGUGGGGAAUAUUGCACAAUGGGCGCAAGCCUGAUGCAGCGACGCCGCGUGAGGGAUGACGGCCUUCGGGUUGUAAACCUCUUUCAGCACCGACGAAGCGCAAGUGACGGUAGGUGCAGAAGAAGGACCGGCCAACUACGUGCCAGCCGCCGCGGUAA